AAAUAUCAAAUGGUUCCUUGUUAAAUACAUUUGGAAAAAUUCCUCAGGAAGACAGGUGGAACUUCGGGAAAGCCUCAAGCGAUGGUGACCUUUGAGGAAAACUGGAUACCUGCUGUUUCCUAAAUAGCAGCCUCAGACAUUGUCUUAAUCAUCACACUGCGUCAUAAGGUGUUGAGUGAAGAUAUCCAGUGCUACCUGCCCCUACCCUUACUGGGUACCACACCUCCAGUGGUACCAGCCCCUAACCUUACCGGGUACCACACCUCCAGUGGUAUCUGUCCCUACCGUUACUGGGUACGACACCUCCCGUGGUACCUGCCCCUACCCUUAGUGGGAACCACACCUUCAGUGGUACCUGCCCUAACUCUUGCUGGGUACCACACCUCCACCACAGCCGUCUUCUACCACAGCCGUCCUCCACCACAGCCGUCCUCCGCCACAGCCGUCCUCCACCACAGCCGUCCUCCACCACAGCCGUCUUCCGCCACAGCCGUCCUCCACCACAGCCGUCCUCCACCACAGCCGUCUUCCGCCACAGCCGUCCUCCGCCACAGCCGUCCUCCGCCACAGCCGGUCUACUCAGCCAUGACCGUCAAAUAUACUGAUAAGAUUGCAAGCCAGGGUGUCUUCGGUUCCCUAUGGAAGCUCUUAAUCAUGUGGCGAGGGAGCGUCUUCAAGAUGGUGUGGCCUGAAAUGCUCUUAUUCAUUAUCCUCUACUACUCUAUAUCCUUCAUCUACCGCUUCGCUCUACCAAGUGACUCCCAAAGGUAAAGUUAAGUACAAGACACCACCUGCAAUCUAAGGGUUAGUGAACUGGGACUAGGGUGAUAACAUUUUCUAAUAGAUUUAAGUUUAUA
Molecule: non-coding RNA, 857 nt
Organism: Procambarus clarkii (red swamp crayfish)
Lineage: Eukaryota; Metazoa; Arthropoda; Malacostraca; Decapoda; Cambaridae
Source: RefSeq, a predicted model, not a curated record